Molecule: long non-coding RNA, 1016 nt
Organism: Corapipo altera (White-ruffed manakin)
Lineage: Eukaryota; Metazoa; Chordata; Aves; Passeriformes; Pipridae
Exons: 3
Source: RefSeq, a predicted model, not a curated record
AUCGGGGGAGAGGUCAUACUGGGAGUCAGGCAAACACCCAAGAGCCCCAGUGCCCCUCAUGAGGGACGGCAAUUGGCCACCACUUUGCCAUGGGCACUUUGGCAUCUGUGCCACCACAGCGUGCUGCCCCUCGGUCGGGAUGGCGGGUGGACAUCCCUGGUGGUGGUUUGGGUUGGAAGGGACCUUAAAGCUCAUCCAGUUCCACCCUCCACUAUGGGCAGGGACACCUUCCUCUAUCCCAGGUUGCUCCAUGUGGGGUCAGGUUGGGGCAGGACAGGGCUCACACGGGGUGCUGGGUCUAGUGUGUCGUGGCACUUGUUUCUGGUCAGGGAUGACCAAGGACCCUGCAUGGACGGGCACCAGAGGGACGAGAGGGGUGGCUGUGACACACAGUGGGGACCACCCCCACCACGACACUGGCACGUGGCAUUUGGAAGAGGAUGGCAAGAGGGACAUCCCAGGGGAUGGUAAGGGGGGCACUGACAGCUCAGCAGUGCCACAGGGCCCAGGUCACAUUUUUCCACCUCCAGGGCCUGGGACAGAGACUCCAACAGAGAAGCACAGCAAGGGCUUGACUCAAGUCAUUCCUACUCAUCUCUCUACCCAGAUUCCUGCAUCCAUGGACAACCUCCUGCUUCAAGUGGGCAGCACAGCACUGGGAACACUUUUACCUGGAGAGCUCUAAGGUCCUGGUCCUUCUUAUCUUAGAGGCUCCAGAGGUGGAUAUUCCGUGUGUUGGAUGCACAUUUUGGAGCCAUUUGGGAGAGAUGCAAGAUCUUCCUGAGGAAAAAUCCAUGGCUGUCCACUGAGGAAAUCCUGGCUCUUUCCAGUUGCCAUCUCAGAAAAAACCAGGCAGAGAGUCAGACCCUUCAUUCUUCACAGAAUCAUCUUUAUUUAACUAUUAAAAUAAAAUAAUUUUGUGUUCAGGUGAGGGAAAUUUUAGUACAAGUUAAAAAUCAGGUUCAGCAGGGAAAAAAGUUUCACAUAAUUAUCUUUUCUCAAUAAAGAUUAUUUUG